AGAUAAAACAUGAUGCCUGGGCCCUCCUUCUCAGUACACGUUGACUAAUUUUGAGAGAUCUGAAAAAUCAUAAUGUUGUAUGUCCCGUUUGAUCUCUUUGAAUGGAAUGCAAAUAGGUAACAAGCUUCCUAAGGGCAAGUCCCAUGAUAGAGGGCUCGGCACAUGAAACCUCCAGUCCCAGUGUUUGUGACAACAUCAACACCAGUCCAGUGCCAAAAUAGUGGUUCAUCUUCACCCAGCACCUCCUGACAAAGAACCAGGUGCAUACCAAAGUAGUGAGAAUUCCUAUAUCAAACUCUCCUUCAAAGAACAUGGCCGGAUUGAGGUAAGUUUCUUUAUGAAGAAAAUUGGACUUAGGAAUAUGUGUAUUUUUUUGUUGUUGUUUCUUAAUGUGAUAGAAGACAAUAUUGUGCAGUGUACAAGGU
Molecule: long non-coding RNA, 425 nt
Organism: Choloepus didactylus (southern two-toed sloth)
Lineage: Eukaryota; Metazoa; Chordata; Mammalia; Pilosa; Megalonychidae
Exons: 4
Source: RefSeq, a predicted model, not a curated record